CUUGCCUCCCCCACUCCCAACCCUAACAAUUUGUUGUAUUUUUCUUCCAAUAGUCGCUGCCGGAAAUAUUUGUUGUUUAAGUGCAGCUUUAAACUUCAGCAAUAGAAAUGGAAAACGAAGCAGAUGAAAUUUUGAGGAAGUGCAUGAAGCUUGGGUGGCUUUUUACAGUGAAACAUUUUAAUUUGGAGGUUAGUUCUUUUGCUAAAGGAUUUUAAAACAAGACGUGACAUUAGCAGUAACCAUAAAUAGCCGAGGAGUCUGCCGUUUAUUGUCAUCAAGCCCGCAGCUCUAUUCUUCUUCAUCUGAGGAAAGACACAGUUCGCCAUUUAUUUUGAGAAGAAGACAGAAUGGUAAUGAUGCUUUUUAUGUUCCUAUUGCUGGGGCUAUUUCCCACAAAACAAUAUGUAGCAUCAGCCGUUUGGCUGCAAGCUCAUGCAACUUUCUAUGGUGGAAGUGACGGUUCCGGUACAAUGGGUAAGUGUCCAUUUCCCAUCUUUUGAUUGGUACAGAUAUAUUUAUAUUCUGCUUAAUUUCCAUGCAAGCAUUAACUAGCUAACGUUUGUGACAAUUCCAUAUAUGUGCUGAGUGUUGACCUCUCAUAGGCGGUGCCUGUGGAUAUGGAAAUCUCUACACCGAUGGCUAUGGAUUCAAAAGUGCUGCACUGAGCACAGCCCUAUUCAACGAUGGCAAGUCAUGUGGUGGCUGCUAUCAGAUUGUCUGCGACGCCACUCAGGUUCCUCAAUGGUGCCUUAAGGGUUCAUCAAUUACGAUUACUGCUACAAACUUCUGUCCACCAAAUUAUAAUCUCCCUAGUGACAAUGGAGGGUGGUGCAACCCCCCACGACCACACUUCGACAUGUCGCAACCUGCCUUCGAGACUAUCGCAAAGUAUAGUGCUGGCAUUGUCCCUGUUUUCUACAGAAAGGUGAGAUGCACGAGAAGUGGGGGCAUAAGAUUUACAAUCAAUGGAAAUAACUACUUUGAGCUGGUGCUUAUAUCAAACGUAGGAGGAGCAGGAGAGAUCUCCAAUGUGUGGAUCAAAGGAUCCGAAUCCAACCAAUGGGAAGCCAUGUCAAGGAAUUGGGGCGCCAAUUGGCAGAGCCUAAGCUAUCUGAAUGGCCAGAGCUUGUCCUUUAAAGUCCAAGCAAGCGACGGAAGUACCCGCACUGCUCUGAACUUGGUUCCUUCCAACUGGGUGUUUGGCCAAUCCUUCAAAAGCAAUGUUCAAUUCCAGAAUUCAUAGGUGUUUCAGAAGUUUCUUAUUGUCCCUUUUCAACCUGUCUCUUCGUUUGUGUUUAUUUCACCACCACUGUAUUGAUUGAUUACCUGCGUUGUGUGCAAAGUAGCCCACCGAGUACAU
RNAcentral lists this unclassified non-coding RNA (1360 nucleotides) under Hevea brasiliensis (rubber tree). The record is from RNAcentral. Lineage: Eukaryota; Viridiplantae; Streptophyta; Magnoliopsida; Malpighiales; Euphorbiaceae.